GACGAACGCUGGCGGCGUGCCUAAUACAUGCAAGUCGAACGCAGGGGGGACGGGUGAGUAACACGUUGGUAACCUCCCAUCAGAGGGGAUAACACUUGGAAACAGGUGCUAAACCGCUAAUGAUGGAUGGAGCCGCGGUGCAUUAGCUAGGUGGGGGGGUAACGGCCCACCAAGGCCACGAUGCAUAGCCGACCUGAGGGAGUGAUCGGCAACACUGUGACGGAGACACGGCCAAGACUCCUACGGGAGGCAGCAGUGGGGAAUAUUGGACAAUGGGCGCAAUCCUGAUGCAGCAAUGCCGCGUUUAUGAAGAAGGCCUUAGGGUUGUAAAGUACUUUCAGCGGGGAGGCGUUACCCGCAGAAGAAGCACCGGCUAACUCCGUGCCAGCAGCCGCGGUAAUAC
This 403-nucleotide ribosomal RNA is filed under the name uncultured bacterium. RNAcentral's name for it is "partial 16S ribosomal RNA". It matches the Rfam family "Bacterial small subunit ribosomal RNA", at positions 28 to 526 of the family's 1533-position model. The record is from RNAcentral.